AGAAAAGUGGGUUGUUGGAGUUGAGCUCGGGCUGCCGUGGGAGGUUGUAGAUAGCUCAACAAAGGCUGAUGUGGUAGUAGGAGGUGCAGGGGUAGUGUCCUUCGAGUUUGGCCAGCUCUGGAAGGUGGUAGAUUCUCCCUGACGGGUUGUAGAGCCGGCAGGGGACAGUGUUGUGUGUGGCGAUCCAGUGCUGCUGUGGACGGGUGUAGAUGCUUCAAGGAGGCCUGAGGCUGUGGUGUUGUCAGGUAAGAGUGUUGUUUCAGUGGAGCCUGGGCUGCUGUGGAAGGUAGUAGAUUCUGGACCAAGGGAUGAUGCUGUGGUACUGCCAGGGGACAGUGUUGUGUCUGUGGAGCCUGGGCUGCUGUGGGAAGCUGUAGAUUCCUGACUGACGCCUGGCAUGGUGGUACUGCUAGGGAAUGCUGUUGUGUGCAUUGAGCCUGGUCGGCUGUGGGAGGUAGUAGAUUCUGGACCAAGGGAUGAUGCUGUGGUACUGCCAGGGGACAGUGUUGUGUCUGUGGAGCCUG
Molecule: long non-coding RNA, 524 nt
Filed under: Homo sapiens (human)
Lineage: Eukaryota; Metazoa; Chordata; Mammalia; Primates; Hominidae
Description: PREDICTED lncRNA (TCONS_00245874)
Source: RNAcentral